This is a long non-coding RNA of Lucilia cuprina (Australian sheep blowfly), 683 nucleotides long. RefSeq lists it as uncharacterized. The transcript has 2 exons. The record is from RefSeq and is a predicted model, not a curated record. NCBI's taxonomy places the organism in Eukaryota, Metazoa, Arthropoda, Insecta, Diptera, Calliphoridae.
AAACAAUAAAUUUACAGAGAAUGCCGGAAUUGAAGAAAACAAUUUGAAAAAAAUCCCAAUUUGAUGAAAAUUCCAUUUAGUACAUUUUGACAAUUUGUCGUGGAAUGUUGAGACGGUUUUGUGUUUUACGGGCGUCAUUCGUGUUACGGACGUAAAAAAAAAUUGUAGAAAAAUGCGCGUAGAAAAUUAUUAGUGUUUGUGUGUGUAUAUAUAUUUGAUGUGCGUUUAAUUUAGAAAAUUUGUAAAAACAAAAAUUCUAAUAAGUAUUUAUGUGCAAAAAGCUGCUAAAAAUUUGCCAAGGUUCUUUUUUUUCGAAGAAAUCUAAAGUUGUCUCUAAAUUUACAGCAAAGUUUGUCGUCGGCUAAAAAAAAAAUAAUUUAAUUUAAUUACUUUAGCAGAAAACAAAACGAAAUAACAAAAAAUAAAUUGAGAAAAUAAAGAUCAAAAAUUAUAAAAAAAGAAGUUUUUUUGUUGUUUAUCCGUGUAAGUGUGUCGGUUUUUCGUUUAUAUCGUGCGUGUGUUUGUGCGGCAAGUUUUAAUUUUUUGUUGAGUAUUUCUACGUCACAUUUUUUGUCGCUUUGAAAAGGAAAUUACAAAGGUUUUUUUACAAACAACAACUACAACUAAGUAUUUACAGCAACAACAAUAUUUUAAUAAUUCAUUGAAAUCAAUUAGAGUCAAAA